GUAUUUCUCUACUCUUUUGUGGUUUCAGUUUCUUAAAAGAAUAAAAGAAAUAUAAAAAAAAAAAAGAGUACUUAUUGAACCUUAUUCUCAAGCUUUGAUGAUCUGAUCGAUUCGAAAUCGUCGAUACAAUAGCAUGGAACGAUUCGUCGGCGGCAAAUUCAAGCUCGGUCGCAAGAUCGGCAGUGGUUCCUUCGGCGAAAUUUAUCUCGCUACGCAUAUCGAUACGUUUGAGAUAGUCGCUGUUAAGAUCGAGAACAAUAAAACGAAGCAUCCGCAACUGUUUUACGAAGCAAAACUGUACAAUAUUCUUCAAGGAGGAAGUGGAAUUCCUAGCAUAAAAUGGUCAGGUGUAGACGGUGAAGAUAAUGCACUUGUUCUCGAUUUGCUCGGACCGAGUUUGGAAGAUCUUUUUGUGUAUUGUGGAAGGAACUUUUCGCUGAAAACUGUCUUAAUGUUGGCUGAUCAAAUGAUUACAAGAAUUGAAUAUGUUCACUCUAAGGGAUUUCUUCAUAGAGAUAUAAAGCCUGAUAACUUCCUCAUGGGACUUGGUCGGAAAGCAAAUCAAGUUUAUAUAAUUGAUUUUGGACUAGCAAAAAGAUAUCGAGAUUCCACGACUAAUCGCCAUAUUCCAUACAGAGAGAACAAGAAUUUAACGGGGACUGCACGUUAUGCCAGUUGCAAUACUCAUCUUGGAAUAGAGCAAAGUCGAAGGGAUGAUUUGGAAUCACUUGGCUAUGUACUUCUAUAUUUUCUUAGAGGAAGCCUUCCAUGGCAAGGUUUGAAAGCUGGCACAAAGAAGCAGAAAUAUGAUAAAAUAUGUGAGAAGAAGGUGUCCACUCCUAUCGAGGUUCUUUGUAAGUCCCAUCCUGUGGAAUUUGCAUCUUACUUCCAUUAUUGCCAUUCGUUGACAUUUGAUCAACGUCCUGAUUACGGAUUUUUGAAGCGUCUUUUCCGUGAUUUGUUUGCUCGUGAAGGUUAUGAGUUUGACUACAUUUUUGAUUGGACUAUCAUCAAGUACCAGCAAGCCCAGAAAAGUAGAUCUGAGCUCAGAUUUUCUCCUGUUCCUGGAGGUAGCAGCAGUCAUCCUUUUCCCGUGGAUGUGAACAAUCAUCAAGGAAGUUCUAAUCCUUCUUACUUGACUGAUAUUACAGAGCGCACUAGAUCAAACAAUGUUUCGGGUCCUGUUGAGAAAAAUAUUUUUUACCCUCAUACACCCUCAUCUUCGUUUGCACAUGCCAGUACCGCAAGAAGAAAGCAGAAAUCAACAUUUCCCAAUGAAACCACUAAUUCUGGGCCUGGGCAUGGAAACAAAAUCGGUCCCUCCAGUAGUUGGAUAUCAUCAUUGCAGCGCAUUUCAUCUGCCAAAUGAUGAAAAUGUUGUUUUCUCAGCGCAAUUUCUAUUUGUUUUUGUGCAUCACUUAAAAUAUUUCGGCUUCUCAUGUCCUGUCAAAGUGUAUGGUGUGUUUGAAGACCGUAAAAUGUAUAUCCCUCUUCUAACACGGAAAAUCUAGAAAGGACUGCUUGAAGAAACUAUUUAUGGAAAAUCUAGAAAAAUCUCGAAAGGGCCCUUCGAGUCCUUGAUUCUGCAAAUAUCAUCAGUGCACGUGCCGUAAAAGUUAAGUUCUGCCUUUGAUUUCAACUUGCCUAUGACAAGGAACAUGUUACAAUACAUAUCUCUGCCGAGCUUGUCUAAUCAUGUAUGAUGCGGAUCUGUUCGGGAUAAUGAGAGAAGAUUAAAAUGAACAAAUAACUUUUUUACACAUUUGCUGUGUCUACUUGGAUUCUGAAGAACUGAGGAGCUCUAUGUGACUAUGCUGGUAUCGCGUAAACUAGGCGAGGCAGACAAGACAUUACUUCAAGCUCCUUCAGGUAUAUAUGUAUGUAUGUAUCGUAUGUACAACUGCUGACAAUCUACUUUCCGAUACAUAAUGCUAUUUCAGAAUGGAAAAAGUCGAUGAAAACAUUAUGUUCUUUGUCCUUACAACUGGGGCUCCUUUGAUUUUACAUUUUUGGUCUUCCUUGAAAACUCUUGGGGCAGUGCCAAAUCAUUAUUAUUAUUAUCAAAAGGUUAAAUGACAUAUGUAAGCAAAUCCAUAUGAUUAUUUAUUGUUCAUCUUCUGUAAA
RNA transcript from Gossypium raimondii (Peruvian cotton), 2124 nucleotides. It is a transcript of the gene named casein kinase 1-like protein 3, with no coding region annotated. Lineage: Eukaryota; Viridiplantae; Streptophyta; Magnoliopsida; Malvales; Malvaceae. The record is from RefSeq and is a predicted model, not a curated record. The transcript is spliced from 15 exons.